ACACACGCUGCCCCUAUGCACACCUUGCCAUCCAACACGGCCCCUAUAGACACAGCCACUCACCCACGCUGUCCCUCAGGGCACCCCAAACAGGUGUACCCCAAAGUCUGUGCCCUCUUCAGCCCCUGUUCCCUGAACCGCAGUGGCAUCACUCUGCGUACAGACCCCGGAGCUCCCCUGCCCCGGCCCCCCUGUGCCUGUGCUGUGCUGGCCCCAGUGCUGCGGGGGGACUGGGUGACCCUGACUCCUGGGAAGAGGGGACACUCGGCAGAGCCCCGGGGAUCAGCGCUGGGCGCCGAUGCAAGUGCUGGCCUUGCAGCAGCAGGAGCUCACAGCUGGGGAAGGCAGGCACACAGGGCCACAGCAGCCCAUGGCGAGCCCCGCGUGCCCCAAAUGAUGAAGGCGAGGGCAAGGAAGGGCAAGGAAGGGCAAGGAAGGGCAAGAAGGGCAAGGAAGAUGAGGAGGGUGAGGAAGAUGAGGAGGGUGAGGGGGCCUGUGGUGCUUCCAGUAGGUUCGAGAGCUGGCGCAGGCAGGCAGGGGACAGUUCACACCCCUAUUUCCUCCCUGGCCGACGGUUCUUAUCAUUUGUGUUUGGGGGAGAUUAGCUCGAGCUGGCACCAUUUCAGAGCGGGGAAGGAGGGGAGGAUGGGGGGGGGGCCGAUCUGGGAAGCAGAGCCCAGGGAAACAGCAGCGGGGUGGUGUGUCUGCUGCCUCUGCAUGCGUCAAGGGUCAAACUGCAAAGGCAGAAGAGCCCUGCAAACUGGUGGCAUGAGAAUAAAUGGGUGGAAAAGGCUCCCAAACCCCUGAAACCAGUGGCCCUGUGCUGGACCGCAGCUCUGCCCGCUCCACUCCCACCUUGCCCAGGCUGCAAGGGAAAAGCAGACAGCCAGGCAUCCCCAAUAAAGUCCUAGAGAACCAUCCUGAUAGAUGGAGCCAAGGGGGAUGAAUCCUACCUCCCCGGAGAAUCUUUCAAGGGGAUGCAAGAACCACAUUUGGCUUGGCGCAUCCUUCCGUCGCAUCCCCAGAGAGCUGCAGGCACGGCGAGGCAACAGGCGAAGCUCCAUUCCCAAGGUCCUGCUACCAGCAUUGGCCGCAUCCCAGGCUCGGGAGGGGUGGAAGCAGGCAGGGCCCUGGGGGGCACCCAGGGAGCCCAUGACCGGUGCUGCCCCCCUGUACCAUGGCCUGGCCUCACCGGC
This is a long non-coding RNA of Egretta garzetta (little egret), 1196 nucleotides long. RefSeq lists it as uncharacterized. The record is from RefSeq and is a predicted model, not a curated record. The transcript is spliced from 3 exons. Lineage: Eukaryota; Metazoa; Chordata; Aves; Pelecaniformes; Ardeidae.